Molecule: ribosomal RNA, 890 nt
Filed under: Clonostachys compactiuscula
Lineage: Eukaryota; Fungi; Ascomycota; Sordariomycetes; Hypocreales; Bionectriaceae
Description: partial large subunit ribosomal RNA
Rfam family: Eukaryotic large subunit ribosomal RNA
Source: RNAcentral
AGCAUAUCAAUAAGCGGAGGAAAAGAAACCAACAGGGAUUGCCCUAGUAACGGCGAGUGAAGCGGCAACAGCUCAAAUUUGAAAUCUGGCGCAAGCCCGAGUUGUAAUUUGUAGAGGAUGUUUCUGGCGACGUGCCUUCCGAGUUCCCUGGAACGGGACGCCAUAGAGGGUGAGAGCCCCGUACGGUUGGAUGCCUAGCCUCUGUGAAACUCCUUCGACGAGUCGAGUAGUUUGGGAAUGCUGCUCUAAAUGGGAGGUAUACGUCUUCUAAAGCUAAAUACCGGCCAGAGACCGAUAGCGCACAAGUAGAGUGAUCGAAAGAUGAAAAGCACUUUGAAAAGAGGGUUAAAAAGUACGUGAAAUUGUUGAAAGGGAAGCGUUUAUGACCAGACUUGGGCAGGUUGAUCAUCCGUGGUUCUCCGCGGUGCACUCUGCCUGCCCAGGCCAGCAUCAGUUUUCCCCGGGGGAUAAAGGUUUCGGGAAUGUGGCUCCUCCGGGAGUGUUAUAGCCCGUUGCGUAAUACCCUGGGGUGGACUGAGGUUCGCGCAUUGCAAGGAUGCUGGCGUAAUGGUCAUCAACGACCCGUCUUGAAACACGGACCAAGGAGUCGUCUUCGUAUGCGAGUGUUCGGGUGUCAAACCCCUACGCGUAAUGAAAGUGAACGUAGGAGAGAGCUUCGGCGCAUCUCCGACCGAUCCUGAUGUUCUCGGAUGGAUUUGAGUAAGAGCAUACGGGGCCGGACCCGAAAGAAGGUGAACUAUGCCUGUAUAGGGUGAAGCCAGAGGAAACUCUGGUGGAGGCUCGCAGCGGUUCUGACGUGCAAAUCGAUCGUCAAAUAUGGGCAUGGGGGCGAAAGACUAAUCGAACCUUCUAGUAGCUGGUUUCCGCCG